UACGUAGGGCGCAAGCGUUGUCCGGAAUUAUUGGGCGUAACGAGCUCGUAGGCGGUCUGUUACGUCCGCUGUGAAAACCCAGGGCUUAACCCUGGGCUUGCAGUGGAUACGGGUAGACUAGAGGCAGGUAGGGGAGAAUGGAAUUCCCGGUGUAGCGGUGAAAUGCGCAGAUAUCGGGAGGAACACCGGUGGCGAAGGCGGUUCUCUGGGCCUGACCUGACGCUGAGGAGCGAAAGCGUGGGGAGCGAACAGG
RNAcentral lists this ribosomal RNA (253 nucleotides) under uncultured bacterium. RNAcentral describes it as "partial 16S ribosomal RNA". It matches the Rfam family "Bacterial small subunit ribosomal RNA", at positions 524 to 776 of the family's 1533-position model. The record is from RNAcentral.